RNAcentral lists this ribosomal RNA (239 nucleotides) under uncultured bacterium. Its description in RNAcentral is "partial 16S ribosomal RNA". It matches the Rfam family "Bacterial small subunit ribosomal RNA", at positions 524 to 762 of the family's 1533-position model. The record is from RNAcentral.
UACGUAGGGUGCGAGCGUUAAUCGGAAUUAGUGGGCGUAAAGCGUGCGCAGGCGGCUUUGCAAGACAGAUGUGAAAUCCCCGGGCUCAACCUGGGAACUGCAUUUGUGACUGCAAGGCUAGAGUACGGCAGAGGCGGAUGGAAUUCCGCGUGUAGCAGUGAAAUGCGUAGAUAUGCGGAGGAACACCAAUGGCGAAGGCAAUCCCCUGGGCCUGUACUGACGCUCAUGCACGAAAGCGU